RNAcentral lists this small RNA (66 nucleotides) under Solibacillus silvestris StLB046. Its description in RNAcentral is "Bacillaceae-1 RNA". It matches the Rfam family "Bacillaceae-1 RNA". Lineage: Bacteria; Bacillati; Bacillota; Bacilli; Caryophanales; Caryophanaceae. The record is from Rfam by way of RNAcentral.
AAAAAAAGAAGUCCGUCUAACGCGUCGCAUCGUGCGGCAAAGACUGGCUGACCCACGUCCUGUGGG